AGCUUAGUGGUCAGAGCAUUGGUGCGUAAAGCCAAAAAUCCCGGGUUCGAUUCCCGG
Molecule: transfer RNA, 57 nt
Filed under: Agrilus planipennis (emerald ash borer)
Lineage: Eukaryota; Metazoa; Arthropoda; Insecta; Coleoptera; Buprestidae
Rfam family: tRNA
About the family: Transfer RNA (tRNA) molecules are approximately 80 nucleotides in length. Their secondary structure includes four short double-helical elements and three loops (D, anti-codon, and T loops). Further hydrogen bonds mediate the characteristic L-shaped molecular structure. tRNAs have two regions of fundamental functional importance: the anti-codon, which is responsible for specific mRNA codon recognition, and the 3' end, to which the tRNAs corresponding amino acid is attached (by aminoacyl-tRNA synthetases). tRNAs cope with the degeneracy of the genetic code in two manners: having more than one tRNA (with a specific anti-codon) for a particular amino acid; and 'wobble' base-pairing, i.e. permitting non-standard base-pairing at the 3rd anti-codon position.
Source: Rfam by way of RNAcentral